This 73-nucleotide transfer RNA is filed under the name Omnitrophica WOR_2 bacterium GWA2_47_8. Its description in RNAcentral is "tRNA-Thr". It matches the Rfam family "tRNA". Rfam says of the family: Transfer RNA (tRNA) molecules are approximately 80 nucleotides in length. The record is from RNAcentral. Lineage: Bacteria; Pseudomonadati; Candidatus Omnitrophota.
GCUGGCGUAGCUCAGCUAGUAGAGCAGCGCAUUCGUAAUGCGCGGGCCGGAGGUGCAAUUCCUCUCGCCAGCU